RNAcentral lists this ribosomal RNA (326 nucleotides) under uncultured bacterium. RNAcentral's name for it is "bacterial SSU rRNA". It matches the Rfam family "Bacterial small subunit ribosomal RNA", at positions 1 to 334 of the family's 1533-position model. The record is from RNAcentral.
GUGAGUAGUUCAGAGUUUGAUCCUGGCUCAGGAUGAACGCUGGCGGCGUGCCUAACACAUGCAAGUCGAGCGAACCCUUCGGGGUGAGCGGCGGACGGGUGAGUAACGCGUGGGUAACCUGCCCUAUACACACGGAUAACGUACCGAAAGGUACGCUAAUACGAGAUAACAUAUUUUUAUCGCAUGGUAGAAAUAUCAAAGCUCCGGCGGUAUAGGAUGGACCCGCGUCUGAUUAGCUAGUUGGUAAGGUAAUGGCUUACCAAGGCAACGAUCAGUAGCCGACCUGAGAGGGUGAUCGGCCACAUUGGAACUGAGACACGGUCCAA